GAUGAACGCUGGCGGCGUGCCUAAUACAUGCAAGUCGAGCGAACAGAUGAGGAGCUUGCUCCUCUGACGUUAGCGGCGGACGGGUGAGUAACACGUGGAUAACCUACCUAUAAGACUGGGAUAACUUCGGGAAACCGGAGCUAAUACCGGAUAAUAUAUUGAACCGCAUGGUUCAAUAGUGAAAGACGGUUUUGCUGUCACUUAUAGAUGGAUCCGCGCCGCAUUAGCUAGUUGGUAAGGUAACGGCUUACCAAGGCAACGAUGCGUAGCCGACCUGAGAGGGUGAUCGGCCACACUGGAACUGAGACACGGUCCAGACUCCUACGGGAGGCAGCAAUAGGGAAUCUUCCGCAAUGGGCGAAAGCCUGACGGAGCAACGCCGCGUGAGUGAUGAAGGUCUUCGGAUCGUAAAACUCUGUUAUUAGGGAAGAACAAAUGUGUAAGUAACUAUGCACGUCUUGACGGUACCUAAUCAGAAGGCCACGGCUAACUACGUG
RNAcentral lists this ribosomal RNA (497 nucleotides) under uncultured bacterium. RNAcentral describes it as "partial 16S ribosomal RNA". It matches the Rfam family "Bacterial small subunit ribosomal RNA", at positions 28 to 507 of the family's 1533-position model. The record is from RNAcentral.